RNAcentral lists this small RNA (107 nucleotides) under Marmota monax (woodchuck). The record is from RNAcentral. Lineage: Eukaryota; Metazoa; Chordata; Mammalia; Rodentia; Sciuridae.
GCUGGGCAUGGUGGCGUACACCUGUCAUCCUGGUGACUCAGGAAGCUGAGGCAAGAGGAUCACAAGUUGGAGGCCAGUCUCAGCAACUUAGUGAGAUCCUGUCUCAA